This 521-nucleotide ribosomal RNA is filed under the name Promethis punctulator. Its description in RNAcentral is "partial 16S ribosomal RNA". It matches the Rfam family "Bacterial large subunit ribosomal RNA", at positions 1809 to 2606 of the family's 2925-position model. Lineage: Eukaryota; Metazoa; Arthropoda; Insecta; Coleoptera; Tenebrionidae. The record is from RNAcentral.
AAAAACAUGUCUUUUUGUUGUUGAUUUAAGGUCGGGCCUGCCCAAUGAUUUUUAAAUGGCCGCAGUAUUUUGACUGUGCAAAGGUAGCAUAAUCAUUAGUUUCUUAAUUAGGAGCUGGAAUGAAAGGUUUGAUGAAAGACUAACUGUCUCUGAUUUAUUGAUAUAAUUUUAUUUUUGAGUAAGAAAGCUUAAAUUUUAUAGAAAGACGAGAAGACCCUAUAGAGUUUCAUAUUGUUUUAUCGUUGUAUUUAUUAGGAUUCUUAUUUUUCAAUGAUUUUCUGUAUUUUGUUGGGGUGACAGUAAAAUUUAAAUAACUUUUUAUUAUUUAAGUGCUUAUUUGCAGGUUGAUGAUCCUUUAUUUUGGAUUAUAAGAUUAAAUUACCUUAGGGAUAACAGCGUUAUUUUUCCUGAAAGUUCUUAUUGAUGGGAAAGUUUGCGACCUCGAUGUUGGAUUAAAAUUUACUUUUGGUGUAGAAGCUAAUAAGUUAGGUCUGUUCGACCUUUAAAAUUUUACAUGAUCU